RNAcentral lists this ribosomal RNA (440 nucleotides) under uncultured bacterium. RNAcentral describes it as "partial 16S ribosomal RNA". It matches the Rfam family "Bacterial small subunit ribosomal RNA", at positions 339 to 795 of the family's 1533-position model. The record is from RNAcentral.
CUACGGGCUGCUGCAGUGGGGAAUCUUGUGCAAUGGGCGAAAGCCUGACACAGCAACGCCGCGUGCGGGAAGAAGGCCUUCGGGUCGUAAACCGCUUUCAGCAGGAACGAAAAUGACGGUACCUGCAGAAGAAGGUGCGGCCAACUACGUGCCAGCAGCCGCGGUGACACGUAGGCACCAAGCGUUGUCCGGAUUUAUUGGGCGUAAAGAGCUCGUAGGCGGUUCAGCAAGUCGAGUGUGAAAACUAUGGGCUUAACCCAUAGCCUGCAUCCGAAACUGCUGUGACUAGAGUUCGGUAGGGGAGAGGGGAAUUCCUAGUGUAGCGGUGAAAUGCGCAGAUAUUAGGAGGAACACCGAUGGCGAAGGCACCUCUCUGGGCCGAUACUGACGCUGAGGAGCGAAAGCGUGGGUAGCAAACAGGAUUAGAUACCCCCGUAGUC